AUUCGACCUGAGCUCAGGCAAGAGCACCCGCUGAACUUAA
Molecule: ribosomal RNA, 40 nt
Filed under: Botryococcus braunii
Lineage: Eukaryota; Viridiplantae; Chlorophyta; Trebouxiophyceae
Description: partial 28S ribosomal RNA
Source: RNAcentral